GACGAACGCUGGCGGUGUGCUUAACACAUGCAAGUCGAACGGUAAGGCCCUUCGGGGUACACGAGUGGCGAACGGGUGAGUAACACGUGGGUGAUCUGCCCUGCACUUCGGGAUAAGCCUGGGAAACUGGGUCUAAUACCGGAUAGGACCACUGCCUGCAUGGGUGGUGGUGGAAAGCUUUUGCGGUGUGGGAUGGGCCCGCGGCCUAUCAGCUUGUUGGUGGGGUGAUGGCCUACCAAGGCGACGACGGGUAGCCGGCCUGAGAGGGUGACCGGCCACACUGGGACUGAGACACGGCCCAGACUCCGACGGGAGGCAGCAGUGGGGAAUAUUGCACAAUGGGCGCAAGCCUGAUGCAGCAACGCCGCGUGAGGGAUGACGGCCUUCGGGUUGUAAAGCUCUUUCGGCCGGGAAGAAAUCGCAUCAGCUAAUACCUGGUGUGGAUGACGGUACCGGAAUAAGAAGCACCGGCUAACUACGUGC
Molecule: ribosomal RNA, 483 nt
Filed under: uncultured bacterium
Lineage: Bacteria
Description: partial 16S ribosomal RNA
Rfam family: Bacterial small subunit ribosomal RNA
Source: RNAcentral